Long non-coding RNA from Cyprinus carpio carpio, 550 nucleotides. NCBI's taxonomy places the organism in Eukaryota, Metazoa, Chordata, Actinopteri, Cypriniformes, Cyprinidae. The record is from Ensembl.
UUUAACAUCAACCUUGAGUCCUGCCCUCCUAAGCCCCUGCGAUAAUUUAAUGUGGUCUUGUUUCUAUGUGGUUUGUUUUGAUGGAUGUAGGCAGAACUCAUCCUCUGGUGAUGACAGUGUGAGGAAUGAUGAUCUUCUUCAGGAACUAAUGUUUCAGGAUCACUUAUCAGACCUGGAUAUGCUCCUGAAUCCGGAUUGCAACCCUUGGCCUGCGCAUAUCCGUGAACAUCUAACAGUCAACUCACAACUAAACGAAAGGAAAACAACACAGUAAACCUAGUGAUUUCAUAAACAGGAGCUGGAGGCUCGUAAGCAGCUGUCUGAAACCUCGUCAUCUCUCACACAAACAGUGCAACAGCUGCAGACAGACAAGCGGUACUGGUCUAAAGGGGAGAAGUGCACGCUGCGUUGAAGGAGCUAAAGAACAGAUAUGUGGCUUUUCUCUCCCUUCACCAAUCAUAACCUCAAGGACUAAGCAGAAAUCUACAACCUACAGCUUUCAUUUAAUUAGUGAAAGGCAUGAGGUGUCAAACCUAACCAAUCAGACCAC